Molecule: non-coding RNA, 3038 nt
Organism: Phalacrocorax carbo (great cormorant)
Lineage: Eukaryota; Metazoa; Chordata; Aves; Suliformes; Phalacrocoracidae
Source: RefSeq, a predicted model, not a curated record
UGUAAAGAAGAGACAGUUGGUAACAGUCAUUAACAUAACAAAGUGCACUAUAGAUCACUCCAAGUUCAUCUAACUGUUUUUAAGCAAAUGUUUUCCCCUGAGAAGUGGCAACAGAACAAUUUGUUGAAUGUUUUGCUGCCUGGGCUACUCUGUUCUGCUGGGAGUGGAAGAGAUGCUCCUGCGGGAUGGCUGGUCCUGAAACCUCCUAUUAGAGGAUAUUUUCUUGCAGUGAUAGUGUGUUAAUUUUUUAUUUUUUAGCCUGAUUUCCUAUCAAAGCUGGACACAUGGUGGGGUUGUGGGGUUUUUGUGGGUUUUUUGUGGUUUUUUUUUCCCUUCCCUCCCCUGUCUGCUGGCUGCAUUGGACAGCUUUGAGAAUAUAUGACUUCUGUUAAUACAGGUAACGAGAAAAAGAAGUCAGACAAGCUGCUGACCCUCCAUGUGAAGGAGAGGCACAGGCUUGGCCAUUGUGCUCUGUACUUGGCUGGACCCCUGGAUGAGUGACAGCACGGAGCCUGUCCUGGCAGGAUGAAAGGUGGAAAGCAAGAGGGGAAGAAGGAAUUGGGGUGUAGCACUAGCAGCUGUGAUGUACAUCUGUCAUUGAAGGGGGCUGAGUAAAGACUAAAAGUAGCUCCAAGGAGGGAAGAAGCACCAUGCACAGGAGCACGUCUGUUAGUCUGGUGCUCACAGAGAAAUUUGCUUGACUUCUGUACGUACCAUCGCACUGGAAUGAUGCAAGAAAUGCAUUGGUUGACUGUACCAAGAAGCCAUUGCUUGUCUGCCCAAAAUGAUCUAGUUUUGUCAUUGCUGUAACUUACAUGUGCUCUUGAACCAUGGUAAGACUACAGGUUUCUCCUGUGGUUUCUGAGGGCUGCCUGCCGGUGGCAACAGGGCUGGGGUGUGCUGGCAGCUGCAGUGGGUUUGGAUCUUCCUGCUGCCAAGUGGACUUUGCUCCCCAGCAGCCUGCCCAAACAUCAACCGUAUUUCCUGGCACUGACCUAACAGAAAGCUUCAACUCUGGAGAAGGUAAAUCACAGGAGUCUAGGACACAUUGCUGGCUGGCACCAAGGGAGUUACUUGUCUAAAAAUCCAGAAGAUGGAGUCUGUUGGAGGACAUGAGGCUCUGGCAGUAGCCUAAGAAACCAGCUCAAUUUUACAGUGUCUUCUGACAACUUGACAUUGUUCAACAAGAAGCAUUAAAACCGAAAAAUAAACCUGCAUUUGGCAGUUAGCUAGUAAUUCAGCAACUGACUGUGCUGCUUAAUAUUUGAUGGGGUGCUUCCUUUAUAGUGCCUAUCCUGUCACCAACAAUUUCUUAAAACAUACAGAAGGUGCAGCUGGAUUUUGUAUGGAGCAACAUGGUGGAGGAACCUCUUCGGCAGAGUGCUGUUCCUGGCAGCUGCGUCAUCCCUUCCAAAGCCAGUCCCCACUGCCCCGGGACCUGUGUGUGGUGGAAAUGUGAAGGUGAAAGGACUGACUUGCUCAUAAGAUGGCUUUGAUUCAGGAUCAGCCCUUCCCAGCCUGUGUCAGGCGUAGGUGCGGGCAUCAUGGCUGCUAUUGGACACUGCUAAUGUUACAAUUAAAAAAAGUCUAGUCUUUUUAUUGAGCAAAUGAUUUCUGCAGAGAAUAGCGUGAUAUAUUAAAAUGUCUAUGUAAAAAGCUCCCAAGGGAGAAAUUCAGAAGAAGAAAGAUUGGAUCACUAAAACAGAGAGAAACCAGGAGCUGCUAAUGUGAGGCUGAAGGAAGAAGACCAAAUCUAGUUAGAGGGUCUUCUAACCAGCAUUUCAUAAUCACCCUUUCAAGAUGAUCUUUGCAAUAGACGACCUCUGACUUCAAUACCAAUAUAUAUGUCACCAGACACAAAUCCCUCAAGAGCUAACUCAAUGAUAUUUCAAGUAAAAACUACUAGGCAGAAGUGCAAUCUGAUUAUCGGCGUGUAUGCAGCCUGGGAGGCACAGAAAGAUCUAGGAGCACUGAAGCCGGGAAGAAGCACAGGGCAUGCUGAGCCCCAUGCAGUGGUCCUGCUGGCUGGCCACCACUGCCCCUCCAGAAGUUCCACUGAUGGCAUGUGGCAUGUUACAGCAUAUCCCCAAAGAAAAGGAAUCGUGAGAUGAUUAUAGAUCCCCUUGCUGGGUUUUAAUUUGACUUUAGUAUCGUUUAAAAAGAUCUCAGAGUUGCUUUCAGUUACAAGUUUAUCACGCCCUGAAAAGCCCUGGGUUGCUGGCAGGGUGGGUGCUGGGAUCACCUGCCCUCCCUGGGGAGCUGGAGUCUCUUGGGCACUGCCUGUGCAGGCUACAAAACUGCUGCUGAGCAAAGCAGCACUGAAAGGAACUGCAAACGCGUACUUGAGUGCGGUAUUUGGAUUUAAUGAUAAAAACGAUAAAUCUUACCAAAAAUAUCACUGAGAUGAAAAGUAUGAAGUGUUUGCCAUUAGUAGUCAUCUAGGGAAUAGAGAAUAAUGAAACAGCAAAUGCAAAACCACAAGGGCCUGUAAAAUGUUGUUUCCCUGCUAAAAAUAUAUCACGGAAAAAUCUUUAAAGCAUCAGUCCCCCUCUUUUUUAUAGACCUUGCUUCAUCCAAGCACUUAUGCACAUGCUUAGUUUUCAGCGUGUGAGCUGUUCUGCGGAUGCUAUGGGUUUAGAGCAUGGGUUUAGAGCGCUGGCAUGUGGUAACAUUUGGCUGGAUCAGCCCAUGGUGAAUGCUUGUGGGAAUCUGGCAGAGGGUGUCUGUGCGGAGCCUGAUUCUCAUUUAUGCCGAGGCGGCUGUACAUGGCUCCCCGGGUGACCAGAGCUCUUGAAGCGAGCAUAAGUGUGUGCAAACACUGAACUAUGUAAUUAAUUUUAAAUCCCCUGAAGUUAACCCAAAAUAGUCCCAUGUAGACACUGUGGGGCUGGUAGACCACAGGCAUCUGAGCCCACGCCCUUGUCCUUCCCUGCAAAGGUGCUGGCAGGCAUCCCAUGGUCAUGGUGGGGCUCUCCCCAGCUGCUGCCUUCCCACUCCAGCUGCUGCCCUGUACAUCACCUGAGGGGCCACACCCCACC